Molecule: ribosomal RNA, 465 nt
Filed under: uncultured bacterium
Lineage: Bacteria
Description: bacterial SSU rRNA
Rfam family: Bacterial small subunit ribosomal RNA
Source: RNAcentral
UCCAGACUCCUACGGGAGGCAGCAGUGAGGAAUAUUGGUCAAUGGCCGAGAGGCUGAACCAGCCAAGUCGCGUGAGGGAAGAAUGUCCUAAGGAUUGUAAACCUCUUUUGUCGGGGAGCAAAAAGGCUCUGCGGAGUCGUAUUGAGAGUACCCGAAGAAAAAGCAUCGGCUAACUCCGUGCCAGCAGCCGCGGUAAUACGGAGGAUGCGAGCGUUAUCCGGAUUUAUUGGGUUUAAAGGGAGCGUAGAUGGGUUGUUAAGUCAGUUGUGAAAGUUUGCGGCUCAACCGUAAAAUUGCAAUUGAUACUGGCAGCCUUGAGUACAGUUGAGGUAGGCGGAAUUCGUGGUGUAGCGGUGAAAUGCUUAGAUAUCACGAAGAACUCCGAUUGCGAAGGCAGCCUACUAAACUGCCACUGACAUUGAUGCUCGAAAGUGUGGGUAUCAAACAGGAUUAGAUACCCCGGUA